Molecule: ribosomal RNA, 341 nt
Filed under: Halobacillus locisalis
Lineage: Bacteria; Bacillati; Bacillota; Bacilli; Caryophanales; Bacillaceae
Description: bacterial SSU rRNA
Rfam family: Bacterial small subunit ribosomal RNA
Source: RNAcentral
UGCANGUCGAGCGCGGGAAGCGAGCUGAUCCCCUUCGGGGGUGACGCUCGUGGAACGAGCGGCGGACGGGUGAGUAACACGUGGGUAACCUGCCUGUAAGAUCGGAAUAACUCCGGGAAACCGGAGCUAAUGCCGGGUAAUACUUUCUUUCGCAUGAAGGAAAGUUGAAAGAUGGCUUCUUGCUAUCACUUACAGAUGGACCCGCGGCGCAUUAGCUANUUGGUGAGGUAACGGCUCACCNAGGCGACGAUGCCUANCCGACCUGANAGGGNGAUCGGCCACACUGGCACUGACACACGGCCCAUACUCCUACUGUCGGCAUCAGUACGGACUUUUCCGCA